UACAGAGGUCCCAAGCGUUGUUCGGAUUCACUGGGCGUAAAGGGUGCGUAGGCGGUUCAGUUAGUCGGGUGUGAAAUCUCCGGGCUCAACCCGGAGGGGCCACCCGAUACUGCUGUGACUCGAGUCCGGUAGGGGAGUGGGGAAUUCCUGGUGUAGCGGUGAAAUGCGCAGAUAUCAGGAGGAACACCGGUGGCGAAGGCGCCACUCUGGGCCGGUACUGACGCUGAGGAGCGAAAGCGUGGGUAGCAAACAGG
Molecule: ribosomal RNA, 254 nt
Filed under: uncultured bacterium
Lineage: Bacteria
Description: partial 16S ribosomal RNA
Rfam family: Bacterial small subunit ribosomal RNA
Source: RNAcentral